Non-coding RNA from Ceratotherium simum simum (southern white rhinoceros), 567 nucleotides. Lineage: Eukaryota; Metazoa; Chordata; Mammalia; Perissodactyla; Rhinocerotidae. The record is from RefSeq and is a predicted model, not a curated record.
AGGGGUGGGGAGGCGGGGGAGGCUCUCUACCGUCUCAGGCGGAGUCACCCUCGUGCCUCUCCUUGGGGCUGGCUAGGGACCAGAAAGGGGCCAUGAGGCUGGCCCAGGAGGGUCAUUAAGGCCAGUUGUAUGUCAUGUCAUUCCUCUUAGUUUGCCUCAUGGGGCGGGGGAUGUAUUCAUUAGAGUAGAUCCUAAGCUGCUGUAAUCAGGAGACCCCGAAACACAGUGGUUUAAGCAAGACAGAAGCUUGUUUCUAACAACUGUCUAGAGGGAGACAGUCCCGGGCUCGCAGGGCCCUCUGCUUCCCUUCACACACACUGUCCAAUUCUGGAUAGAAGGGCUGCUCCAGCUCCCACCAUCACAUGUGCAUCCAAGCCUGGGGGAGGCAGAGAAAGGCAAGGGAAGCACAUACCCUUUCCUGUUAUGGGCAUGAGCCGGAGAUGGCACUGUCGCUUCUGAUCGCAUCUCACUGGCCGGGACUUAGUCACGUGGCCACAAGUAGCUGCAAGGGAAGCUGGGAAAGGUAGUCUUCAGCUGGGCGGCCAGGCGCCCAGCCUCAGCGUGGGA